Molecule: long non-coding RNA, 265 nt
Organism: Ixodes scapularis (black-legged tick)
Lineage: Eukaryota; Metazoa; Arthropoda; Arachnida; Ixodida; Ixodidae
Exons: 3
Source: RefSeq, a predicted model, not a curated record
GGUAAGCCUGUCUGCUUCUCCGUGUCCGCAGCUGUGAACUACAUUCAACAGAACCAGAUCUACAUAACGAGAUUACCUCGGAGCGCACUCUGCAAUCACACCUUCACUCAAAAGUGGGGCCCUAUCCACGGGUUCGACAACAUUACUAAAACGCAUUACUUAACUGACCGCUUCACCCGUCUCUACUUUGAGGAAAGGAACCUGUUUAGACAAAAGGUGAAAGAUCUGCUCGACAAGUACCCCAAUGACAAGUGCAUUAUCUUUG